Molecule: ribosomal RNA, 440 nt
Filed under: uncultured bacterium
Lineage: Bacteria
Description: partial 16S ribosomal RNA
Rfam family: Bacterial small subunit ribosomal RNA
Source: RNAcentral
CCUACGGGGGGCAGCAGUGGGGAAUAUUGCACAAUGGGGGAAACCCUGAUGCAGCGACGCCGCGUGAGUGAAGAAGUAUUUCGGUACGUAAAGCUCUAUCAGCAGGGGAGAAAAUGCAGGUACCUGACUAAGAAGCCCCGGCUAACUACGUGCCAGCAGCCGCGGUAAUACGUAGGGGGCAAGCGUUAUCCGGAUUUACUGGGUGUAAAGGGAGCGUAGACGGCAGCGCAAGUCUGGAGUGAAAUCCCAUGGCUUAACCAUGGAACUGCUUUGGAAACUGUGCAGCUAGAGUGCAGGAGAGGUAAGCGGAAUUUCUAGUGUAGCGGUGAAAUGCGUAGAUAUUAGGAGGAACACCAGUGGCGAAGGCGGCUUACUGGACUGUAACUGACGUUGAGGCUCGAAAGCGUGGGGAGCAAACAGGAUUAGAUACCCGAGUAGUC